Molecule: ribosomal RNA, 1695 nt
Filed under: Enterobacter hormaechei
Lineage: Bacteria; Pseudomonadati; Pseudomonadota; Gammaproteobacteria; Enterobacterales; Enterobacteriaceae
Also listed under: 1 other name
Description: partial 23S ribosomal RNA
Rfam family: Bacterial large subunit ribosomal RNA
Source: RNAcentral
UGCUGGAGGUAUCAGAAGUGCGAAUGCUGACAUAAGUAACGAUAAAGCGGGUGAAAAGCCCGCUCGCCGGAAGACCAAGGGUUCCUGUCCAACGUUAAUCGGGGCAGGGUGAGUCGACCCCUAAGGCGAGGCCGAAAGGCGUAGUCGAUGGGAAACAGGUUAAUAUUCCUGUACUUGGUGUUACUGCGAAGGGGGGACGGAGAAGGCUAUGUCAGCCGGGCGACGGUUGUCCCGGUUUAAGCAUGUAGGCGGAGGUUCCAGGUAAAUCCGGUACCUUAUUAACGCUGAGGUGUGAUGACGAGGCACUACGGUGCUGAAGUGAUAAAUGCCCUGCUUCCAGGAAAAGCCUCUAAGCAUCAGGUAACACGAAAUCGUACCCCAAACCGACACAGGUGGUCAGGUAGAGAAUACCAAGGCGCUUGAGAGAACUCGGGUGAAGGAACUAGGCAAAAUGGUGCCGUAACUUCGGGAGAAGGCACGCUGAUAUGUAGGUGAAGUCCCUGCGGACGGAGCUGAAAUCAGUCGAAGAUACCAGCUGGCUGCAACUGUUUAUUAAAAACACAGCACUGUGCAAACACGAAAGUGGACGUAUACGGUGUGACGCCUGCCCGGUGCCGGAAGGUUAAUUGAUGGGGUUAGCGGCAACGCGAAGCUCUUGAUCGAAGCCCCGGUAAACGGCGGCCGUAACUAUAACGGUCCUAAGGUAGCGAAAUUCCUUGUCGGGUAAGUUCCGACCUGCACGAAUGGCGUAAUGAUGGCCAGGCUGUCUCCACCCGAGACUCAGUGAAAUUGAACUCGCUGUGAAGAUGCAGUGUACCCGCGGCAAGACGGAAAGACCCCGUGAACCUUUACUAUAGCUUGACACUGAACACUGGUCCUUGAUGUGUAGGAUAGGUGGGAGGCUUUGAAGCGUGGACGCCAGUCUGCGUGGAGCCAACCUUGAAAUACCACCCUUUAAUGGCUGGUGUUCUAACGUAGACCCGUAAUCCGGGUUGCGGACAGUGUCUGGUGGGUAGUUUGACUGGGGCGGUCUCCUCCCAAAGAGUAACGGAGGAGCACGAAGGUUGGCUAAUCCUGGUCGGACAUCAGGAGGUUAGUGCAAUGGCAUAAGCCAGCUUGACUGCGAGCGUGACGGCGCGAGCAGGUGCGAAAGCAGGUCAUAGUGAUCCGGUGGUUCUGAAUGGAAGGGCCAUCGCUCAACGGAUAAAAGGUACUCCGGGGAUAACAGGCUGAUACCGCCCAAGAGUUCAUAUCGACGGCGGUGUUUGGCACCUCGAUGUCGGCUCAUCACAUCCUGGGGCUGAAGUAGGUCCCAAGGGUAUGGCUGUUCGCCAUUUAAAGUGGUACGCGAGCUGGGUUUAGAACGUCGUGAGACAGUUCGGUCCCUAUCUGCCGUGGGCGCUGGAGAAUUGAGGGGGGCUGCUCCUAGUACGAGAGGACCGGAGUGGACGCAUCACUGGUGUUCGGGUUGUCAUGCCAAUGGCACUGCCCGGUAGCUAAAUGCGGAAGAGAUAAGUGCUGAAAGCAUCUAAGCACGAAACUUGCCCCGAGAUGAGUUCUCCCUGAGACUUUAAGUCUCCUGAAGGAACGUUGAAGACGACGACGUUGAUAGGUCGGGUGUGUAAGCGCAGCGAUGCGUUGAGCUAACCGAUACUAAUGAACCGUGAGGCUUAACCUUACAACGCCGAAGCUGUU